AGUGAACGCUGGCGGUAGGCCUAACACAUGCAAGUCGAACGGCAGCACAGUAAGAGCUUGCUCUUACGGGUGGCGAGUGGCGGACGGGUGAGGAAUGCAUCGGAAUCUACUUUUUCGUGGGGGAUAACGUAGGGAAACUUACGCUAAUACCGCAUACGACCUACGGGUGAAAGCAGGGGAUCUUCGGACCUUGCGCGAUUGAAUGAGCCGAUGUCGGAUUAGCUAGUUGGCGGGGUAAAGGCCCACCAAGGCGACGAUCCGUAGCUGGUCUGAGAGGAUGAUCAGCCACACUGGAACUGAGACACGGUCCAGACUCCUACGGGAGGCAGCAGUGGGGAAUAUUGGACAAUGGGCGCAAGCCUGAUCCAGCCAUACCGCGUGGGUGAAGAAGGCCUUAGGGUUGUAAAGCCCUUUUGUUGGGAAAGAAAAGCAGCAGGUUAAUACCCCGCUGUUCUGACGGUACCCAAAGAAUAAGCACCGGCUAACUUCGUG
This 492-nucleotide ribosomal RNA is filed under the name uncultured bacterium. RNAcentral's name for it is "partial 16S ribosomal RNA". It matches the Rfam family "Bacterial small subunit ribosomal RNA", at positions 29 to 507 of the family's 1533-position model. The record is from RNAcentral.